RNAcentral lists this ribosomal RNA (253 nucleotides) under uncultured bacterium. RNAcentral's name for it is "partial 16S ribosomal RNA". It matches the Rfam family "Bacterial small subunit ribosomal RNA", at positions 524 to 776 of the family's 1533-position model. The record is from RNAcentral.
UACAGAGGUCCCAAGCGUUGUUCGGAUUCAUUGGGCGUAAAGGGUGCGUAGGCGGCGCGGUAAGUCGGGUGUGAAAUCUCGGAGCUUAACUCCGAAACUGCAUUCGAUACUGCCGUGCUUGAGGACUGGAGAGGAGACUGGAAUUUACGGUGUAGCGGUGAAAUGCGUAGAUAUCAGGCGGAACACCCGUGGCGAAGGCGGCCAGCUGGGCCGUCCCUGACGCUGAGGCGCGAAGGCGUGGGGAGCGAACGGG